UACCAGCACCCCGAGUGGUCGGGACGAUUAUUGGGCCUAAAGCAUCCGUAGCCGGUCCUACAAGUCUUCCGUUAAAUCCACCUGCUCAACAGAUGGGCUGCGGAAGAUACUAUAGGGCUAGGAGGCGGGAGAGGCAAGCGGUACUCAGUGGGUAGGGGUAAAAUCCUCUGAUCCAUUGAAGACCACCGGUGGCGAAGGCGGCCAACUGGACGAAUACUGACGCUGAGAGACGAAAGCUAGGGGAGCGAAUGGG
This 253-nucleotide ribosomal RNA is filed under the name uncultured bacterium. Its description in RNAcentral is "partial 16S ribosomal RNA". It matches the Rfam family "Archaeal small subunit ribosomal RNA", at positions 474 to 727 of the family's 1478-position model. The record is from RNAcentral.